AGGCUGAGAGGCCACCCAUAUAAUGCAGUCGAAGCCAAACAGCUUAGGAGCUUGCUCCUCUUAAGUUAGCGCCGAUACGGCGCAGUAACACUCUGUUAACCAUACCUAUAACAUUUUUAAAUUUUCAAGAAACCGGAUCUAAUACCGAAUAACAUUUAGAACCGCAUGCUCUAAAGUUAAAGAUGCUUUUGCUAUCACUCAUAGAUGGACCCCCCCGUACUCCCCAGUUUUCAAGGUAGCGACCUACUAAGCCGACCAUUCGAAUCCCAUCUGUGAGGCUCACCGCCCACACUGAAACUGAGCCAUGAUCAAACUCUAUACGGGAGGCAGCAGUAGGGAAUCUUCCGCAAUGGGCGAAAGCCUGACGGAGCAACGCCGCCGUGAGUAAUGAAGGGUUUCGGCCUCGUAAAAACUCUGUUAUUAGGGGAAGAACAAAUGUGUAAAGUAACUGUGCACAUCUUGACGGUACCUAAUCAGAAAGCCACGGCUAACUACGUGCCAUCAGCCGCGGUAAUACGUAGGUGGCAAGCGUUAUCCGGGAAUUAUUUGGGCGUAAGGCGCGCGUAGACGGUUUUCUUAAGUCUGAUGUGAAAGCCCACGGCUCAACCGUGGAGGGUCAUUGUAAACUGGGGAAACUUGAGUGCAGAAGAGGAAAGUGGAAUUCCAUGGUUGGCGUUGAAAUGCGCAAGAGAUAUGGAGUAACACCAGUUGCGAAGGCGACUUUUCUGGCCUGGAACUGACGCUGAAUGGGCCAAAACCUGGGGGAUCAAACAGGGAUAAGAAACCCUUGGUAGGCCCACGCCGUUAAACGAUUUAUGGCCAAGGCGUUAAGGGGGUUUCCGUACCCUUAAGGGCCUUCGGCUUAAGCCA
This 870-nucleotide ribosomal RNA is filed under the name Staphylococcus sp. KSUM_21. RNAcentral describes it as "bacterial SSU rRNA". It matches the Rfam family "Bacterial small subunit ribosomal RNA", at positions 33 to 860 of the family's 1533-position model. The record is from RNAcentral. Lineage: Bacteria; Bacillati; Bacillota; Bacilli; Caryophanales; Staphylococcaceae.